GACGAACGCUGGCGGCGUGCUUAACACAUGCAAGUCGAGCGGUAAGGCUCCUUCGGGAGUACACGAGCGGCGAACGGGUGAGUAACACGUGAGCAAUCUGCCCUUCACUUUGGGAUAACUCCGGGAAACCGGUGCUAAUACCGAAUGCGACCACUUCAGGCAUCUGACGGUUGGUGGAAAGUUCCGGCGGUGAAGGAUGAGCUCGCGGCCUAUCAGCUUGUUGGUGAGGUAAUGGCUCACCAAGGCUUCGACGGGUAGCCGGCCUGAGAGGGUGACCGGCCACACUGGGACUGAGACACGGCCCAGACUCCUACGGGAGGCAGCAGUGGGGAAUAUUGGACAAUGGGCGAAAGCCUGAUCCAGCAACGCCGCGUGA
This 376-nucleotide ribosomal RNA is filed under the name uncultured bacterium. Its description in RNAcentral is "bacterial SSU rRNA". It matches the Rfam family "Bacterial small subunit ribosomal RNA", at positions 28 to 404 of the family's 1533-position model. The record is from RNAcentral.